Long non-coding RNA from Myotis lucifugus (little brown bat), 263 nucleotides. RefSeq lists it as uncharacterized. The record is from RefSeq and is a predicted model, not a curated record. NCBI's taxonomy places the organism in Eukaryota, Metazoa, Chordata, Mammalia, Chiroptera, Vespertilionidae. The transcript is spliced from 2 exons.
UAAAUGUAACCAUUUACGUCUAUGGCUGUGGUGGAGAUGGCUGGCUGUUCACUGAAGAUGUGUGCUCCUCUCCCAAGGGGCUGAAUCUAUGUGCCACAAGUGUGAGCAAAGCCGUGAAAAAAAAUGGGAACUCUCUCAAGGACUAACAAUCAGAGCUGCCUAGUUGACGAGAGAGGUUUGGUUUCAAGAAGACCCUGAAGCAAGGAUUCUAAAUCAAAGAUUCAGGGCAAUCUGAGUUUGCAUUAAAGAUCCCUAUGCCUAUA